RNAcentral lists this ribosomal RNA (1095 nucleotides) under Microbacterium paraoxydans. Its description in RNAcentral is "bacterial SSU rRNA". It matches the Rfam family "Bacterial small subunit ribosomal RNA", at positions 55 to 1160 of the family's 1533-position model. The record is from RNAcentral. Lineage: Bacteria; Bacillati; Actinomycetota; Actinomycetes; Micrococcales; Microbacteriaceae.
AUGCAAGUCGAACGGUGAACACGGAGCUUGCUCUGUGGGAUCAGUGGCGAACGGGUGAGUAACACGUGAGCAACCUGCCCCUGACUCUGGGAUAAGCGCUGGAAACGGCGUCUAAUACUGGAUACGAGACGUGAUCGCAUGGUCAACGUCUGGAAAGAAUUUCGGUUGGGGAUGGGCUCGCGGCCUAUCAGCUUGUUGGUGAGGUAAUGGCUCACCAAGGCGUCGACGGGUAGCCGGCCUGAGAGGGUGACCGGCCACACUGGGACUGAGACACGGCCCAGACUCCUACGGGAGGCAGCAGUGGGGAAUAUUGCACAAUGGGCGCAAGCCUGAUGCAGCAACGCCGCGUGAGGGAUGACGGCCUUCGGGUUGUAAACCUCUUUUAGCAGGGAAGAAGCGAAAGUGACGGUACCUGCAGAAAAAGCGCCGGCUAACUACGUGCCAGCAGCCGCGGUAAUACGUAGGGCGCAAGCGUUAUCCGGAAUUAUUGGGCGUAAAGAGCUCGUAGGCGGUUUGUCGCGUCUGCUGUGAAAUCCCGAGGCUCAACCUCGGGCCUGCAGUGGGUACGGGCAGACUAGAGUGCGGUAGGGGAGAUUGGAAUUCCUGGUGUAGCGGUGGAAUGCGCAGAUAUCAGGAGGAACACCGAUGGCGAAGGCAGAUCUCUGGGCCGUAACUGACGCUGAGGAGCGAAAGGGUGGGGAGCAAACAGGCUUAGAUACCCUGGUAGUCCACCCCGUAAACGUUGGGAACUAGUUGUGGGGUCCAUUCCACGGAUUCCGUGACGCAGCUAACGCAUUAAGUUCCCCGCCUGGGGAGUACGGCCGCAAGGCUAAAACUCAAAGGAAUUGACGGGGACCCGCACAAGCGGCGGAGCAUGCGGAUUAAUUCGAUGCAACGCGAAGAACCUUACCAAGGCUUGACAUAUACGAGAACGGGCCAGAAAUGGUCAACUCUUUGGACACUCGUAAACAGGUGGUGCAUGGUUGUCGUCAGCUCGUGUCGUGAGAUGUUGGGUUAAGUCCCGCAACGAGCGCAACCCUCGUUCUAUGUUGCCAGCACGUAAUGGUGGGAACUCAUGGGAUACUGCCGGGGUCA